Molecule: transfer RNA, 54 nt
Filed under: Blaesodactylus boivini
Lineage: Eukaryota; Metazoa; Chordata; Lepidosauria; Squamata; Gekkonidae
Description: partial tRNA-His
Source: RNAcentral
AGCCAACAUAGUUUAAACAAAACACUAAGUUGUGGGCUUAGUAAUAAGGAGCUA